RNAcentral lists this transfer RNA (54 nucleotides) under Berberis japonica. Its description in RNAcentral is "partial tRNA-His". It matches the Rfam family "tRNA", at positions 1 to 50 of the family's 71-position model. From Rfam's summary of the family: Transfer RNA (tRNA) molecules are approximately 80 nucleotides in length. Their secondary structure includes four short double-helical elements and three loops (D, anti-codon, and T loops). Further hydrogen bonds mediate the characteristic L-shaped molecular structure. tRNAs have two regions of fundamental functional importance: the anti-codon, which is responsible for specific mRNA codon recognition, and the 3' end, to which the tRNAs corresponding amino acid is attached (by aminoacyl-tRNA synthetases). tRNAs cope with the degeneracy of the genetic code in two manners: having more than one tRNA (with a specific anti-codon) for a particular amino acid; and 'wobble' base-pairing, i.e. permitting non-standard base-pairing at the 3rd anti-codon position. The record is from RNAcentral. RNAcentral also lists the same sequence under 51 other names. Lineage: Eukaryota; Viridiplantae; Streptophyta; Magnoliopsida; Ranunculales; Berberidaceae.
GGCGGAUGUAGCCAAGUGGGUUAAGGCAGUGGAUUGUGAAUCCACCAUGCGCGG